UACGUAGGUGGCAAGCGUUGUCCGGAUUUACUGGGCGUAAAGAGCGCGCAGGCGGUCGUUCAAGUCGAGUGUGAAAGCCCCCGGCUCAACUGGGGAGGGUCACUCGAUACUGAUCGACUCGAAGGCAGGAGAGGGUAGUGGAAUUCCCGGUGUAGUGGUGAAAUGCGUAGAUAUCGGGAGGAACACCAGUGGCGAAGGCGACUACCUGGCCUGUUCCUGACGCUGAGGCGCGAAAGCUAGGGGAGCAAACGGG
This 253-nucleotide ribosomal RNA is filed under the name uncultured bacterium. RNAcentral describes it as "partial 16S ribosomal RNA". It matches the Rfam family "Bacterial small subunit ribosomal RNA", at positions 524 to 776 of the family's 1533-position model. The record is from RNAcentral.